GGGGAGCUCCCGGAACGCGGCGAUCGAAUCGAGGGGACGGCCAUGGCAGCGUCGAAUUGUACGCGGCAGUAAGCAGGGGGAAAGGAGCAGCGAGGAAUCGAGGCGGGAGGGACGGUUGUGGCUCACCUGCGGGCGGCGCGGCGGGGGAGGGGGAGGGGAGGAGGCGGCCGGCGGCGAGGUAUGGAGGGGAGUUGGGGGAAGGGGAAGGGGAAGGUGAAGCGGAGGGCGGAGGCACGGGUUCGGGAAGGCGAGGAGGGAGGGUGGUAGGCAGGACAAGGCGAAGGAGUCAACGAGGCUUGGCUUCGCU
RNAcentral lists this long non-coding RNA (307 nucleotides) under Hordeum vulgare. RNAcentral describes it as "long non-coding RNA (HVUL_LNC005842)". The record is from RNAcentral. Lineage: Eukaryota; Viridiplantae; Streptophyta; Magnoliopsida; Poales; Poaceae.